Molecule: ribosomal RNA, 468 nt
Filed under: uncultured bacterium
Lineage: Bacteria
Description: partial 16S ribosomal RNA
Rfam family: Bacterial small subunit ribosomal RNA
Source: RNAcentral
GACGAACGCUGGCGGCGUGCUUAACACAUGCAAGUCGAACGGAAAGGCCCUGCUUUUGUGGGGUGCUCGAGUGGCGAAUGGGUGAGUAACACGUGCGUAACCUUAACUCGAGUUUGGGAUAACUUCUGGAAACUGGGGAUAAUAGCGGAUAGGUGCUCAUACCGCAUGAUGGCACUUGGACAGUUUCGGCGGUUGGGGAUGGACUCGCGGUUUAUCAGCUUGUUGGGUGGGUAGUGUCUUACCAAGGCUUUGACGGGUAGCCGGCCUGAGAGGCGGACCGGCCAGAUUAGGACGGAGAUACGGCCCAGACUCCUACGGGAGGCAGCGGUGGGGAAUAGUGCACAACGGGCGGAAGGCUGAUGCAGCAACGCCACGUGCGGUAUGGCGGCCUUCGUGUUGUAAUCCGCUGUCGCCUGUGACGAAGCGUGAGUGACGGUAAUGGGUAAAGAAGCACCGGCUAACUACGUG